RNAcentral lists this ribosomal RNA (96 nucleotides) under Pogona vitticeps (central bearded dragon). Lineage: Eukaryota; Metazoa; Chordata; Lepidosauria; Squamata; Agamidae. The record is from RNAcentral.
ACUGGGUAUCAGACCCCAUGCACACCAGAUCUCAUCUAAUUUCAGAAGCUAAACAGGAUUGGGCCAGGUUAGCGCUUAGAUAGGAGAUCACCAGUG